GCAAGCUUUCGCCUUUUGAUUGUGGGUUGCUCGCUUUUUGGUUGUUGGAUUCUUUUCCCCAAUUUUUCGUGCUCUUCUUUUUUCGAUAAGUUUUUGGGCUUGCAAUUAGUCUUGGAUAUUAUUUUUAACUGAUAUCAGUUGAUGCUUGGGAAAUAUAUAUAUUUUUGCAUUUUGAAAUGUUACUUUUUUUUCCCUUCUUUGUAACCUCACU
This 211-nucleotide unclassified non-coding RNA is filed under the name Hevea brasiliensis (rubber tree). The record is from RNAcentral. Lineage: Eukaryota; Viridiplantae; Streptophyta; Magnoliopsida; Malpighiales; Euphorbiaceae.